This 224-nucleotide unclassified non-coding RNA is filed under the name Hevea brasiliensis (rubber tree). The record is from RNAcentral. Lineage: Eukaryota; Viridiplantae; Streptophyta; Magnoliopsida; Malpighiales; Euphorbiaceae.
GCUGCUAUCCCCAUUUGCCAGCUGACUCAGCCAAGGCUCACGAAGCUGUUCGAAGCUCAACUCUCCAUGGUUAACCCGGCACAAUGCCUCAGAUGGGGAACUGGGGUUGCUGACAGAGCCUUUGAACCGGGUCCGAUUCUUAUUGUUGAGUUCAAGCGAGUUAGGGUCCUUGGACACGUGGCGGAUGUCAUAGGUUUUGAGAGGAUCAAUCAAGUGUGGUGGUG